UUGGGCAAACUCUCCAAACUCUACUAGCUGGACCUGGCAGACAAUCAGUGGAUUGGAACAAUUCCAAUUUCGACCUACCAUUCCCCUGGCUUAGACCUCCUGUUGAAGGCUAAACACUUCCAUUUGAACAAGAACCAGCUUUCAGGUUUCACACCGGCCAAACUUUUCAGCUCUAAGAUGGCACUGAUACA
Molecule: non-coding RNA, 191 nt
Organism: Prunus avium (sweet cherry)
Lineage: Eukaryota; Viridiplantae; Streptophyta; Magnoliopsida; Rosales; Rosaceae
Source: RefSeq, a predicted model, not a curated record